This 62-nucleotide non-coding RNA is filed under the name unclassified sequences. RNAcentral's name for it is "eL15-Euryarchaeota ribosomal protein leader". It matches the Rfam family "eL15-Euryarchaeota ribosomal protein leader". The record is from RNAcentral.
CCUGUCACAGGACAGGACGGGAUGUGAACCCCGAGACCGACUCGCACGGUUUGAACCACUCG